UACGUAGGGGGCAAGCGUUGUCCGGAUUUAUGGGCGUAAAGAGCGUGUAGGCGGCUAGGUAGGUCCGUUGUGAAAACUCGAGGCUCAACCUCGAGACGCCGAUGGAAACCAUCUAGCUAGAGUCCGGAAGAGGAGAGUGGAAUUCCUGGUGUAGCGGUGAAAUGCGCAGAUAUCAGGAGGAACACCAAUUGCGAAGGCAGCUCGCUGGGACGUUACUGACGCUGAGACGCGAAAGCGUGGGGAGCAAACAGG
RNAcentral lists this ribosomal RNA (252 nucleotides) under uncultured bacterium. Its description in RNAcentral is "partial 16S ribosomal RNA". It matches the Rfam family "Bacterial small subunit ribosomal RNA", at positions 524 to 776 of the family's 1533-position model. The record is from RNAcentral.